AUGCUGGCGGUGAAAUUCUCGCUGCUAGAGUGGGUGCCUGGGGAGGGGGCAUUGGUGGAGCCGCCACCAAAAUGCAGAUUUUUCCUGAGAACCCUUACAGGGAAGACCAUCACCCUCGAGGCUGAACCCUCGGAUAUGGUAGAAGAUGGAAGGGCCAAGAUCCGGGGUAAGGAAGGAAUUCCUCCUAAUCAGCAAAGACUGAUCUUUACUGGUAAACAACUGGAAGAUGGAUGUACUUUGUCUGACUACAACAUUCAAAAGGAGUCUCCUCUUGUGUUGAGAAUUCGUGGUGGUGCUGAGGAAAGGAAGAAAAGAAGAAGUCUUACAUGCAAGAAGAAUAAGCACAAGAGAAAGAAGGUGAAGCUGGCUGUCCUGAAAUAUUAUAAGGUGGAUGAGAAUGACAAAAUUAGUGGCCUUUUCCAGGGUGCCCUUUGUCCAGGGUGCCCUUCUAAUGAAUGUGGUGCUGGAGUGUUUAUGGCAAGCCACUUUGACAGACAUGAUUGUGGCAAAUGUUGUCUGACUUACUGCUUCAACAAACCAGAAGACAAGUAACUGUAUGAAUUAACAAAAGAUAUGAACAAA
Non-coding RNA from Macaca mulatta (Rhesus monkey), 582 nucleotides. NCBI's taxonomy places the organism in Eukaryota, Metazoa, Chordata, Mammalia, Primates, Cercopithecidae. The record is from RefSeq and is a predicted model, not a curated record.